GCAGUAAUGGCUUCAAUGAAUAACCAAAAAGAAAUUGAGCUCUUUGAGGGCCAAUCUCUUCUGUACAUGCAGCUAUAUGGGCACCUAAGACCUAUGUGUCUUAAGUGGGCUGUUCAACUAGGUAUUCCAGACAUAAUACAGAACCAUGCCAAACCCAUUUCUCUUUCUGACUUGGUCUCUACUCUUCAAAUUCCACCAGCUAACGCUGCUUUUGUGCAGCGGUUCAUGCGCUUCUUGGCACACAAUGGAAUCUUUGAGAUCCAUGAGAGCCAAGAAGAUCAUGAACUAACAUAUGCUCUAACCCCUGCAUCAAAGCUUCUUGUCAAUAGUAGUGAUCAUUGUCUAUCUCCAAUGGUUCUAGCGUUUACCGAUCCACUUCGGAACGUUAAAUACCAUCACUUGGGGGAAUGGAUUCGUGGGGAGGACCCCUCAGUAUUUGAGACAGCCCACGGAACAAGCGCUUGGGGACUUCUUGAGAAAAAUCCUGAAUAUUUUAGUCUCUUCAAUGAGGCUAUGGCAAGUGAUUCCCGAAUAGUAGACUUGGCACUCAAAAAUUGCACUUCAGUUUUUGAGGGGCUAGAUUCCAUGGUGGAUGUUGGUGGUGGAACUGGAACCACGGCCAGAAUUAUCUGUGACGCAUUUCCUAAGUUGAAAUGUGUUGUGCUUGACCUUCCUCAUGUUGUAGAGAACUUGACAGGGACCAAUAAUUUGAGUUUUGUUGGUGGUGACAUGUUCAACUCUAUCCCUCAAGCUGAUGCAGUGCUACUAAAGGUACAAAUAUAUCUUAAUGCCAAUUUGCUGAUUUGAUUUUGAAAGAAUAUUGCCAUCAUACAUAAUUCUUAAUUUUUUUUUUUUCUUUUUUACUUUCUUUGCAGUGGGUUUUACAUAAUUGGACCGACGAAAAUUGCAUAAAGAUCCUGCAAAAGUGUAGAGAUUCUAUUUCAAGCAAAGGCAACAGUGGAAAAGUGAUUAUCAUAGAUGCCGUAAUAAAUGAGAAGCUAGAUGACCCGGAUAUGACACAAACAAAGCUUAGUUUGGACAUUAUUAUGUUGACGAUGAAUGGAAGAGAGAGAACGGAAAAAGAAUGGAAACAACUCUUCAUCGAAGCAGGAUUCAAACACUACAAAAUAUUUCCCAUCUUUGGUUUUAGAUCUCUG
RNAcentral lists this long non-coding RNA (1157 nucleotides) under Glycine max (soybean). Its description in RNAcentral is "long non-coding RNA (GMAX_LNC004663)". Lineage: Eukaryota; Viridiplantae; Streptophyta; Magnoliopsida; Fabales; Fabaceae. The record is from RNAcentral.